GAUGAACGCUGGCGGCGUGCCUAAUACAUGCAAGUCGAGCGAACAGAUGAGGAGCUUGCUCCCCUGACGUUAGCGGCGGACGGGUGAGUAACACGUGGAUAACCUACCUAUAAGACUGGGAUAACUUCGGGAAACCGGAGCUAAUACCGGAUAAUAUAUUGAACCGCAUGGUUCAAUAGUGAAAGACGGUUUUGCUGUCACUUAUAGAUGGAUCCGCGCCGCAUUAGCUAGUUGGUAAGGUAACGGCUUACCAAGGCAACGAUGCGUAGCCGACCUGAGAGGGUGAUCGGCCACACUGGAACUGAGACACGGUCCAGACUCCUACGGGAGGCAGCAGUAGGGAAUCUUCCGCAAUGGGCGAAAGCCUGACGGAGCAACGCCGCGUGAGUGAUGAAGGUCUUCGGACCGUAAAACUCUGUUAUUAGGGAAGAACAAAUGUGUAAGUAACUAUGCACGUCUUGACGGUACCUAAUCAGAAAGCCACGGCUAACUACGUG
RNAcentral lists this ribosomal RNA (497 nucleotides) under uncultured bacterium. Its description in RNAcentral is "partial 16S ribosomal RNA". It matches the Rfam family "Bacterial small subunit ribosomal RNA", at positions 28 to 507 of the family's 1533-position model. The record is from RNAcentral.